Molecule: non-coding RNA, 53 nt
Organism: Salmo salar (Atlantic salmon)
Lineage: Eukaryota; Metazoa; Chordata; Actinopteri; Salmoniformes; Salmonidae
Source: Rfam
GACAUGUCUGACUGUAAGUCGCUUGGAUAAAAGCGUCUGCUAAAUGGCAUAUA